Molecule: ribosomal RNA, 213 nt
Filed under: Staphylococcus chromogenes
Lineage: Bacteria; Bacillati; Bacillota; Bacilli; Caryophanales; Staphylococcaceae
Description: partial 23S ribosomal RNA
Rfam family: Bacterial large subunit ribosomal RNA
Source: RNAcentral
CAUCCUGGGGCUGUAGUCGGUCCCAAGGGUUGGGCUGUUCGCCCAUUAAAGCGGUACGCGAGCUGGGUUCAGAACGUCGUGAGACCGUUCGGUCCCUAUCCGUCGUGGGCGUAGGAAAUUUGAGAGGCGCUGUCCUUAGUACGAGAGGACCGGGAUGGACAUACCUCUGGUGUACCAGUUGUCGUGCCAACGGCAUAGCUGGGUAGCUAUGUA